This 467-nucleotide ribosomal RNA is filed under the name uncultured bacterium. Its description in RNAcentral is "partial 16S ribosomal RNA". It matches the Rfam family "Bacterial small subunit ribosomal RNA", at positions 29 to 507 of the family's 1533-position model. The record is from RNAcentral.
ACGAACGCUGGCGGCGUGCUUAACACAUGCAAGUCGAACGGAAAGGCCCUGCUUGCAGGGUGCUCGAGUGGCGAACGGGUGAGUAACACGUGGGUGAUCUGCCCCUUACUUUGGGAUAAGCCUGGGAAACUGGGUCUAAUACUGGAUAGGACCAUGCUGUAGGUGGUGUGGUGGAAAGAUUAGUUUCGGUAAGGGAUGAGCUCGCGGCCUAUCAGCUUGUUGGUGGGGUAAUGGCCUACCAAGGCGUCGACGGGUAGCCGGCCUGAGAGGGUGGACGGCCACAUUGGGACUGAGAUACGGCCCAGACUCCUACGGGAGGCAGCAGUGGGGAAUAUUGCACAAUGGGCGCAAGCCUGAUGCAGCGACGCCGCGUGGGGGAUGACGGCCUUCGGGUUGUAAACUCCUUUCAGCCAUGACGAAGCCUUCGGGUGACGGUAGUGGUAGAAGAAGCACCGGCUAACUACGUG